ACAGUGAUACUGCUGGGUUUCCUUGAUACUUAGUUUAUUUGUGUUGUAAAACAGUUACAUUUUGGGGAGAGAGGAACUGAAGAGGUGGAAACUGUCCAUGGUGUUGCAUAUACUGAAUGGGAAGGUGCUCUGAAGCAGAGAAAGAAGCCUAAGCAGUAGCUGUAUUCACAGUUAUCCUUUUGGUCCUGUCAUACCAAUGUAGUGGAAGGCCAGGAGUCCAGAUGAGUGUUUCAUGUACACCUUGUUGAGGAAUGGGCAUGUCACACUGACUGCAGCUGUAUGUAUUUCAUAUCUGUAAACAUUUAAUAUACAAGAAGUGUGGUUGUCUAAGAGGGUGUGUGCAGUUUUGCCUCCUUGCUGCUACUGUGCAGAACACUGCCUCUGGUAGUCUUUAUUCUCUGGAUUAUUUCUGUUCAAUGGUAUUGUGCAUUAAGCCUGAAACUUGCAUUUUGGGAGUUUUAGGAGGAAAUUCGAUGUGCUUGUGUAUAUAUUUUCCCAUGCAUCUAACCAACACAAGGAAACAGAAACCCUGCCCACUGACCUUUACAACAUUGUAAGGGAGGGGUAGUGCAGUUGUAAUGUUAUGUAGGAAUGCUUAUCCAUGCCCAAAUGGAAAUGGUUGUUUAUUGGAUGGCAAGUACUGAAGUUUUAUCAGUGGGAGAACUAGGCAGGAAAUGUCUGCAGUUUGACUUUGCUAAACUUUUACACAAUUUUUCCUCCACAUGAAAUAUUUCCACAGGAAUCUAAGGUGUGUGGAAGAUGCUGGAUCACCAGGUGCAGGGAUUGAACUCUACCCACUGGAAAGGUUUUUCUACAGCAGCAGCAGGUCAUCUUUUGCCUCUCAUGGGAGCGCUUAGCCUUUUGAUAAUGCCUCCUUCACAAUGAAGGGAAGAAAGGAUGGAUCAACAGGGAUGUGCAAUGGAGUGAUGUCCACAUGUGGUGUUAACAGUCAUGAUGAUCCCUAUCCCACUAACUUGGAGAAUUGAAUAAAAAAGUUGAAUCGUAA
Lonchura striata (white-rumped munia) is the source of this 1006-nucleotide non-coding RNA. NCBI's taxonomy places the organism in Eukaryota, Metazoa, Chordata, Aves, Passeriformes, Estrildidae. The record is from RefSeq and is a predicted model, not a curated record.